AUUGAACGCUGGCGGCAUGCCUUACACAUGCAAGUCGAACGGUAACAGGUCUUCGGAUGCUGACGAGUGGCGAACGGGUGAGUAAUACAUCGGAACGUGCCCGAUCGUGGGGGAUAACGAAGCGAAAGCUUUGCUAAUACCGCAUACGAUCUACGGCUGAAAGCAGGGGACCGCAAGGCCUUGCGCGAACGGAGCGGCCGAUGGCAGAUUAGGUAGUUGGUGGGAUAAAAGCUUACCAAGCCGACGAUCUGUAGCUGGUCUGAGAGGACGACCAGCCACACUGGGACUGAGACACGGCCCAGACUCCUACGGGAGGCAGCAGUGGGGAAUUUUGGACAAUGGGCGAAAGCCUGAUCCAGCCAUGCCGCGUGCAGGAUGAAGGCCUUCGGGUUGUAAACUGCUUUUGUACGGAACGAAAAGACUCUGGUUAAUACCUGGGGUCCAUGACGGUACCGUAAGAAUAAGCACCGGCUAACUACGUG
This 482-nucleotide ribosomal RNA is filed under the name uncultured bacterium. Its description in RNAcentral is "partial 16S ribosomal RNA". It matches the Rfam family "Bacterial small subunit ribosomal RNA", at positions 30 to 507 of the family's 1533-position model. The record is from RNAcentral.